AGAAACCAAAGUCUGGAAAGGCUGUGACUUGCUCAGAGUCACAUAGUACAGCAGUGGUGGAUCUGUGAACUGAACCCAGGUCUCCUGACUCCCAGUCUGUGUUAAAAGAAGAAGGUGGCUCGGCCUGCAGUAUAAAUUUUGGUGGGCAUGCUGGAAUUUCCUUGUGUGGCCUAUGGUAAUCUUUCACCAGAAGACUCGGUCCAAAUAAAAGUUUACAUUCCUCCGACGGCUCACUUCAGAUGUAAAGUAUUGAGGUUUCCCAGAGACAGGUCUCGUGUUUCCCACACGUGCAAGACAGGAAGAUCCUGUUUUUACCACAGGCCUUGGAUUGUUUCAAGUGCAGUUGCAGCAAUCCUCUGUAAAUGUCUACGCUUGGUGUUUUUAAGCUGGACAGGCAUUAAAUUAAUAACAUAGACCUCGGCCAGCUGUGUCAACAGAGACCAAGAAGCCUUUGAAUGGCUAAUUCAUUUGUGAUAGUUUAUGGCCGUUAGGUAGCCAAUGUGUCUGCAAUUAUUAGAAUGAAAAUGUACUGUAAAUCUAAUUGUGCACAUGCAAUUUACCAACACAGAAUGCAUAUAUUCUUUACUUAUUCUAGU
This is a long non-coding RNA of Ornithorhynchus anatinus (platypus), 596 nucleotides long. RefSeq lists it as uncharacterized. The transcript is spliced from 3 exons. The record is from RefSeq and is a predicted model, not a curated record. NCBI's taxonomy places the organism in Eukaryota, Metazoa, Chordata, Mammalia, Monotremata, Ornithorhynchidae.